Drosophila serrata is the source of this 409-nucleotide long non-coding RNA. RefSeq lists it as uncharacterized. The record is from RefSeq and is a predicted model, not a curated record. NCBI's taxonomy places the organism in Eukaryota, Metazoa, Arthropoda, Insecta, Diptera, Drosophilidae.
CUAUCACUUUGUUUUGCCUUAACUGUCUUGAAAAUUAGAUAUUUUCAAUUUGAAACUCUGCUGGCCGUAUAUAAAAAUUACAUCAUGUCGGAAGCCUGGCCCUGGAGAAUUUUAAUGCAGCGCCUUUUAAAUCUUUUACGCCAAAAACAGACCGCCAGACCAGGCACAGGAAGAGAAGGCAUUGACAUAACCAAAGCCACCUUCUUGGUGUUUGCAGUCUUCAUUAUGUGUGCCACUUCCUGGGGUCCACUGAUCAGCAGGAAGCCAUUGAGUGCCAGGUGCCACAACAACCAGGAUGGAGCGCCACCAAAGCCCCAGCCACCGGCCUUUAACUAAAGGAUCUUGAAGGAUUCUUAGCCAUGGCUUUCAAAAUCGUUCAGUAGAAUAAAUGUUUAGAUCAGUGAAAGAA